This 769-nucleotide ribosomal RNA is filed under the name bacterium enrichment culture clone 4-14. Its description in RNAcentral is "bacterial SSU rRNA". It matches the Rfam family "Bacterial small subunit ribosomal RNA", at positions 1 to 801 of the family's 1533-position model. The record is from RNAcentral.
UAGAGUUUGAUCCUGGCUCAGGACGAACGCUGGCGGCGUGCCUAACACAUGCAAGUCGAGUGAGGGACUUCGGUCCCUAGCGGCGGACGGGUGAGUAACACGUGGGUAACCUGCCUCAUAGAGGGGGAUAGCCUCCCGAAAGGGAGAUUAAUACCGCAUAACAUCAUGCUAACGCAUGUUAGUGUGAUCAAAGGAGCAAUCCGCUAUGAGAUGGACCCGCGGCGCAUUAGCUAGUUGGUGAGGUAACGGCUCACCAAGGCGACGAUGCGUAGCCGACCUGAGAGGGUGAUCGGCCACAUUGGAACUGAGACACGGUCCAGACUCCUACGGGAGGCAGCAGUGGGGAAUAUUGCACAAUGGGCGAAAGCCUGAUGCAGCAACGCCGCGUGAGUGAAGAAGGCCUUCGGGUUGUAAAGCUCUGUCUUUUGGGACGAUAAUGACGGUACCAAAGGAGGAAGCCACGGCUAACUACGUGCCAGCAGCCGCGGUAAUACGUAGGUGGCAAGCGUUGUCCGGAUUUACUGGGCGUAAAGGAUGCGUAGGUGGAUAUUUAAGUGGGAUGUGAAAUACCCGGGCUCAACUUGGGUGCUGCAUUCCAAACUGGAUAUCUAGAGUGCAGGAGAGGAAAGUGGAAUUCCUAGUGUAGCAGUGAAAUGCGUAGAUAUUAGGAGGAACACCAGUGGCGAAGGCGGCUUUCUGGACUGUAACUGACACUGAGGCAUGAAAGCGUGNGGAGCAAACAGGAUUAGAUACCCUGGUAGUCCACGCC